RNAcentral lists this ribosomal RNA (585 nucleotides) under uncultured bacterium. Its description in RNAcentral is "partial 16S ribosomal RNA". It matches the Rfam family "Bacterial small subunit ribosomal RNA", at positions 355 to 1375 of the family's 1533-position model. The record is from RNAcentral.
UGGGGAAUUUUGGACAAUGGGCGAAAGCCUGAUCCAGCAAUGCCGCGUGUGUGAAGAAGGCCUUCGGGUUGUAAAGCACUUUUGUCCGGAAAGAAAUCCUUGGCUCUAAUACAGUCGGGGGAUGACGGUACCGGAAGAAUAAGCACCGGCUAACUACGUGCCAGCAGCCGCGGUAAUACGUAGGGUGCAAGCGUUAAUCGGAAUUACUGGGCGUAAAGCGUGCGCAGGCGGUUUGCUAAGACCGAUGUGAAAUCCCCGGGCUCAACCUGGGAACUGCAUUGGUGACUGGCAGGCUAGAGUAUGGCAGAGGGGGGUAGAAAUCCACGUGUAGCAGUGAAAUGCGUAGAGAUGUGGAGGAAUACCGAUGGCGAAGGCAGCCCCCUGGGCCAAUACUGACGCUCAUGCACGAAAGCGUGGGGAGCAAACAGGAUUAGAUACCCUGGUAGUCCACGCCCUAAACGAUGUCAACUAGUUGUUGGGGAUUCAUUUCCUUAGUAACGUAGCUAACGCGUGAAGUUGACCGCCUGGGGAGUACGGUCGCAAGAUUAAAACUCAAAUGAAUUGACGGGGUCAUAGCUGUUUCCU